Molecule: long non-coding RNA, 211 nt
Filed under: Capsicum annuum
Lineage: Eukaryota; Viridiplantae; Streptophyta; Magnoliopsida; Solanales; Solanaceae
Description: long non-coding RNA (CANN_LNC016181)
Source: RNAcentral
UGCCGAACCGCUUGACGUAUUCCCACCAAGUGUUAGCAUAGCCUUCAAAAUGAGCUAUGGCAUAACAACUCUUCUUCUCCUCCGAGAUAUCAUUCACUUGAAAUACUUUAUCACACGUCAACUCCCAAGCAAGAUACACCUCGGGGUUACUUUCACCCUUAAAGAUAGGUAGGAUCAAUUUGAUGGUAUUGAUGCCUACGUCUCUCUCUAG